Long non-coding RNA from Lactuca sativa (garden lettuce), 924 nucleotides. RefSeq lists it as uncharacterized. Lineage: Eukaryota; Viridiplantae; Streptophyta; Magnoliopsida; Asterales; Asteraceae. The record is from RefSeq and is a predicted model, not a curated record.
CUUGCAUGAGUUGGAUGAAGUUGUGGGUUACAUGAGCCUGUGUUACCCUUUUGGGCUAACUGCCUCGGUUCUGUUUGGAAGACAUCAUAAGGCCAUAUUACAAUCUCCAAAAAAAACUUUCCUUGUUCUUCUUUGCUUUAACUUCAUCAGCCUCCAGAUCUAAUAUUAAUUUUUCUCUUAGAUUCAGAAAUUGAUAAAUCUCUUAAACAAGGUUUAUCCCAUUUUUUUCUUCAGUAGUGUAGAAAGACAUGUUGCCAAUGUAUACGGUUGUUGAAUUUUGGAGUGCGUGUUCAUAUUCUUAUUGUGUUCCUGGAAACCUUUUGUCACGAUACGCUGAAAUCUUUGUUGGAUCCUGUAACAUUAACAUAGGUAAUGAAUAGAAUGCACACUGAUAAGUGAUAUUGGUAAUUUAGUAAUUUUAAAAAUAGGAAAAAUAUUGGAUAUUACCUUGAACAGCAACGCCAUUGCACCUUAUCUGAAAAUGAAGACAAGUAGUAUAUUGUGUUGUUACUCUCGAGUUAAUAGUUACACAUGCUUAUAGAAACAAAUCUGAUGAUGUUUAAAUUAGUAUGACUAUCACAUUUGUUGCAUGAAAUUAUUCUUACAGAACCAACUCUGAUGAUGUUUAAAUUAGAUGAGAAGCUGAAGUUGAUAGAAUCUCGUCUGGAAAGCAAAAAUUGAGGGCCCACUUCAGGCUUACAUCCUCGUUGACGUACAUCACGUGAUAUUCCUCCGGUGUGGAGUUAAGAAUUUGGGGGUUUCUUUCAAGAAGCAAGUAAAAUGUACAGCAACUAAAGUUUACUUGGUCUCAAAUUCUUCUUGCCCAGGUUCCAAUGGCUCCAAAACAGCCAAACACAGGACUCUUUGUGGGUCUAAAUAAAGGGCAUGUUGUCACCAAGAAGGAAUUAGCACCUCGUCCUUCCG